This 273-nucleotide ribosomal RNA is filed under the name uncultured prokaryote. Its description in RNAcentral is "partial 16S ribosomal RNA". It matches the Rfam family "Bacterial small subunit ribosomal RNA", at positions 524 to 796 of the family's 1533-position model. The record is from RNAcentral.
UACAGAGGUCCCAAGCGUUGUUCGGAUUUACUGGGCGUAAAGGGUGCGUAGGUGGUGGGGUAAGUCGGAUGUGAAAUCUCCGAGCUCAACUCGGAAAGUGCAUUGGAAACUACCCUGCUCGAGGGUUGGAGGGGGGACUGGAAUACUUGGUGUAGCAGUGAAAUGCGUAGAUAUCAAGUGGAACACCAGUGGCGAAGGCGAGUCCCUGGACAACUCCUGACACUGAGGCACGAAAGCUAGGGGAGCAAACAGGAUUAGAAACCCUAGUAGUCC